Podarcis lilfordi (Lilford's wall lizard) is the source of this 70-nucleotide non-coding RNA. The record is from the annotation of a GenBank genome assembly. NCBI's taxonomy places the organism in Eukaryota, Metazoa, Chordata, Lepidosauria, Squamata, Lacertidae.
UGAAUAGCUCAGUUGGUAGAGCAUGAGACUCUUAAUGUCAGGGAUGUGGUUCGAGACCCGCGUUGGGCAA